CCGGCGUCGGAGAAGCUGGAGUCGAGGGAGUCGCGGUCGCCGUCGGGACCUGCAAAGAAAGUGUAAACCGGAGGUGGGGGUGCUCCGGCAAGACCCUUCGACGCUCAAGUCAAUUCUCUAUCUCAACAAAAAUAGAGUGCUCGAACGAAAAUUCUAACAGAGUUUUUUAGAUAGAGAUUAGAGCUUAGAGAAUAACAUAUCUGA
Molecule: long non-coding RNA, 204 nt
Filed under: Elaeis guineensis (African oil palm)
Lineage: Eukaryota; Viridiplantae; Streptophyta; Magnoliopsida; Arecales; Arecaceae
Description: long non-coding RNA (EGUI_LNC023773)
Source: RNAcentral